GGGAUAACACUUGGAAACAGGUGCUAAUACCGUAUAACACUAUUUUCCGCAUGGAAGAAAGUUGAAAGGCGCUUUUGCGUCACUGAUGGAUGGACCCGCGGUGCAUUAGCUAGUUGGUGAGGUAACGGCUCACCAAGGCCACGAUGCAUAGCCGACCUGAGAGGGUGAUCGGCCACACUGGGACUGAGACACGGCCCAGACUCCUACGGGAGGCAGCAGUAGGGAAUCUUCGGCAAUGGACGAAAGUCUGACCGAGCAACGCCGCGUGAGUGAAGAAGGUUUUCGGAUCGUAAAACUCUGUUGUUAGAGAAGAACAAGGAUGAGAGUAAAAUGUUCAUCCCUUGACGGUAUCUAACCAGAAAGCCACGGCUAACUACGUGCCAGCAGCCGCGGUAAUACGUAGGUGGCAAGCGUUGUCCGGAUUUAUUGGGCGUAAAGCGAGCGCAGGCGGUUUCUUAAGUCUGAUGUGAAAGCCCCCGGCUCGACCGGGGAGGGUCAUUGGAAACUGGGAGACUUAAGUGCAGAAGAGGAGAGUGGAAUUCCAUGUGUAGCGGUGAAAUGCGUAGAUAUAUGGAGGAACACCAGUGGCGAAGGCGGCUCUCUGGUCUGUAACUGACGCUGAGGCUCGAAAGCGUGGGGAGCGAACAGGAUUAGAUACCCUGGUAGUCCACGCCGUAAACGAUGAGUGAUAGGUGUUGGAGGGUUUCCGCCCUUCAGUGCUGCAGCA
This 727-nucleotide ribosomal RNA is filed under the name uncultured bacterium. RNAcentral describes it as "bacterial SSU rRNA". It matches the Rfam family "Bacterial small subunit ribosomal RNA", at positions 140 to 853 of the family's 1533-position model. The record is from RNAcentral.